UGGGGAAUAUUGCACAAUGGGCGAAAGCCUGAUGCAGCAACGCCGCGUGAGGGACGACGGCCUUCGGGUUGUAAACCUCUUUUAGCAAGGAAGAAGCGAAAGUGACGGUACUUGCAGAAAAACGCGCCGGCUAACUACGUGCCAGCAGCCGCGGUAAUACGUAGGGCGCAAGCGUUAUCCGGAAUUAUUGGGCGUAAAGAGCUCGUAGGCGGUUUGUCGCGUCUGCUGUGAAAACCCGAGGCUCAACCUCGGGCCUGCAGUGGGUACGGGCAGACUAGAGUGCGGUAGGGGAGAUUGGAACUCCUGGUGUAGCGGUGGAAUGCGCAGAUAUCAGGAAGAACACCGAUGGCGAAGGCAGAUCUCUGGGCCCGUAACUGACGCUGAGGAGCGAAACGGGU
Molecule: ribosomal RNA, 398 nt
Filed under: uncultured bacterium
Lineage: Bacteria
Description: partial 16S ribosomal RNA
Rfam family: Bacterial small subunit ribosomal RNA
Source: RNAcentral